CACGUACAACGAGGCGCUGGUGUUCGACGUGGCCCCGGAGAGCGUGGAGAACGUGGGGCUCAGCAUCGCCGUGGUUGACUACGACUGCAUCGGACACAACGAGGUGAUCGGCGUGUGCCGCGUGGGCGCCGACGCCGCCGACCCGCACGGCCGCGAGCACUGGGCCGAGAUGCUGGCCAAUCCGCGCAAGCCCGUGGAGCACUGGCACCAGCUGGUGGAGGGGUGCUGAGGACUGUAACAGCUGGGCACAGAGCUCACAUUUGAGAUUUGAGAAGACUGUGACUCUACUUAGGUGGACAGGAUGGAGGCCACUCCCUUCUUCCAUCAUUCGCUCUGCUCCUAAUUCAUUCACUCAUUCACUCUACAAACUUCUCCAGGACUUUCUGGAAAAGACUUUGAGCAGCUUCACAAAAGGCAGCAAAGGACUAUCAGAGAAAGAGAACUCGGAGUGAGGGGUCUGGCCUAGGCCCGGGAUCGGACCAGGUCCCCUCAGGACCCCAUCCUUUCCUGCCCGGACCGUGAAUUCACCUCCUCGAAGCCAUAACGUCCGAGCUGCUGGUGCGGGGCCGCCCCGGGCCUGCCCUUCCUACCCCCAGAGGCGAGAGGGUGGGCGGCAGGCGGGCCUAGCUCCCUGUUUCAGGGCGGGGGGGCAUUCAGCCUCCACUGUGUCUGUCUUCUCUUCCCUGGGGCUCCCCCUUGAGGCAAGGGGCCGUGCAUGUCUGGGGGACCCCGCCCCCAAGCCAUCCGUCUGUCUCUUUGCUGUUUGUCCGAGACUUAGUGUCCUGACCCUUGUUAUCUCUGUGAAUGUCAACGGGCCAAUCCUCUGUGUUCCCUCAGAGACACACACCUGUGUCCGCCCCUUCUGUUCACCACCCCCGCGUCUGGCCGGUCCCCCCACUGCUGCUGCUGUCAACGCCAGAAUAAACACACUCUGUGGGUCUCACUCCA
This is a non-coding RNA of Microcebus murinus (gray mouse lemur), 948 nucleotides long. NCBI's taxonomy places the organism in Eukaryota, Metazoa, Chordata, Mammalia, Primates, Cheirogaleidae. The record is from RefSeq and is a predicted model, not a curated record.